UGCAGCGGGUCAUAUAAUGAUAAUAUGAUAUUAUAAAUUACAAUAAUGGAUUAUUAUGUAAAACUCGUUGGUCCGUCGCUUGUUAUAAUAUUCUACGUGUUAUAUAUAACAGUGUGUGUGUGUGUGUGUGUGUGCGUGCGUGCGCUUGUGUGUGUACAAUGUCAUCGACACUGUGCGA
Cinara cedri is the source of this 178-nucleotide non-coding RNA. The record is from the annotation of a GenBank genome assembly. NCBI's taxonomy places the organism in Eukaryota, Metazoa, Arthropoda, Insecta, Hemiptera, Aphididae.